This 333-nucleotide small RNA is filed under the name Pan troglodytes (chimpanzee). Its description in RNAcentral is "processed transcript". Lineage: Eukaryota; Metazoa; Chordata; Mammalia; Primates; Hominidae. The record is from RNAcentral.
CCAACCACAGCCUCCAGCACCCGAGAGAACGGCCGCCCACAGCACACGUUUUCCGGAGAGGAGGGCGAAGGCCCAAGACCUGGAGAGGUGGGCUCGAGGGAAAGAUCUGGGUCCCACCACUACUUCCUGGAGACGCCGGGGAAAGCAGGCCAUCCUUCGAGCCACCCAUCUCUUCUCCGAUUGGUUAACUGCCUUCUUUUUGCGCUCCGCUGGCUGGUGAUUGGUUGGGAUGCACCGUCUAUCACCUGCUUCCUUAUGGGCAGCUCUCAAAAAAGGCACAAACAAUUGAAGGAUGGAUACCAUGGCAUAUGUUAAAAGCGUGUUGAAAGGAAA